This 424-nucleotide ribosomal RNA is filed under the name uncultured prokaryote. RNAcentral's name for it is "bacterial SSU rRNA". It matches the Rfam family "Bacterial small subunit ribosomal RNA", at positions 355 to 796 of the family's 1533-position model. The record is from RNAcentral.
UGGGGAAUAUUGGACAAUGGGCGCAAGCCUGAUCCAGCCAUGCCGCGUGGGUGAAGAAGGCCCUAGGGUUGUAAACCCCUUUCAGCGGGGAAGAUAAUGACGGUACCCGCAGAAGAAGCCCCGGCUAACUCCGUGCCAGCAGCCGCGGUAAUACGGAGGGGGCUAGCGUUGUUCGGAAUCACUGGGCGUAAAGGGCGCGUAGGCGGCUGUUUAAGUCGAGGGUGAAAGCCCGGGGCUCAACCCCGGAACGGCCUUCGAGACUGGGCAGCUCGAGACCGGAAGAGGAGGGUGGAAUACCCAGUGUAGAGGUGAAAUUCGUAGAUAUUGGGUGGAACACCAGUGGCGAAAGCGGCUCUCUGGUCCGGAUCUGACGCUGAGGCGCGAAAGCGUGGGGAGCAAACAGGAUUAGAUACCCCCGUAGUCC